Molecule: ribosomal RNA, 373 nt
Filed under: uncultured organism
Description: partial 16S ribosomal RNA
Rfam family: Bacterial small subunit ribosomal RNA
Source: RNAcentral
GUAGGUGGCAAGCGUUGUCCGGAAUUAUUGGGCGUAAAGCGCGCGCAGGCGGUUCUUUAAGUCUGAUGUGAAAGCCCACGGCUCAACCGUGGAGGGUCAUUGGAAACUGGAGAACUUGAGUACAGAAGAGGAAAGCGGAAUUCCACGUGAAGCGGUGAAAUGCGUAGAGAUGUGGAGGAACACCAGUGGCGAAGGCGGCUUUCUGGUCUGUAACUGACGCUGAGGCGCGAAAGCGUGGGGAGCAAACAGGGAUUAGAUACCCUGGUAGUCCACGCCGUAAACGAUGAGUGCUAAGUGUUAGGGGGUUUCCGCCCCCUUAGUGCUGCAGCUAACGCAUUAAGCACUCCGCCUGGGGAGUACGGCCGCAAGGCUG